Molecule: non-coding RNA, 291 nt
Organism: Pelobates cultripes (western spadefoot toad)
Lineage: Eukaryota; Metazoa; Chordata; Amphibia; Anura; Pelobatidae
Source: the annotation of a GenBank genome assembly
AAAAACUUUCUUUAAGCCAGUGGAUGUGAACAGCUACAUCCAACACACAAGUUGCCAUUUUAGUCCAUGGCUAAAUAAUGUGCCAAGCAGUCAAUUAAUUAGGAUGAAAAGAAACUGCACAGAAGAAAUAAUUUUUCUAGAACAAAGCCAAAAGAUUAUUAAAGAUUUUAAAGAACGUGGGUAUAAGGAAGGUUUUUUAAAUGAAACUAAAAGAAAAGUAGACAAAUUAGAAAGAAAUUAGAUUUUAAAGUAUAAGGAGAAGAAGAAAAAUAAUACGGUGCCGAAUAUCCC